This 329-nucleotide long non-coding RNA is filed under the name Capsicum annuum. RNAcentral describes it as "long non-coding RNA (CANN_LNC007829)". Lineage: Eukaryota; Viridiplantae; Streptophyta; Magnoliopsida; Solanales; Solanaceae. The record is from RNAcentral.
CCUUGGCCAUCCUAUAGAACUUCUUAUCUCCGCCUUUCUCCUCUAAAGCCGCAUACAAACUCUCAAAAGUUGUUGUCUUAGCCGUCAUAACCACUAACUUAGCCUCUCUUCUAGCAACCUUAUACUCAUCCUUAUUCUUCUGUCUUUCCUCAUCAUCCUUGCUCCCAACCAACUUAGCAUAAGCCACCUUCUUAGACUCCACCUUUCUCUUGACCUCUUCGUUCCACCACCAGUCUCCUCGAUGUUUGCCAGAUCGACAUCUCGAGACACCCAACACCUCUCUAGCGGUCUCCCUAAUGCAACUGGAAGUCGUCUCCCACAUAUUAUCC